This 9083-nucleotide long non-coding RNA is filed under the name Brassica napus (rape). Its description in RNAcentral is "long non-coding RNA (BNAP_LNC000207)". The record is from RNAcentral. Lineage: Eukaryota; Viridiplantae; Streptophyta; Magnoliopsida; Brassicales; Brassicaceae.
UUGAGAGAUAAAGACGGGUACCCCAUAGCACCAUCUCCGACAAGCCAUCUAACCAGUGCAAGUCUUGGUGGUGAAACAGUGGAAUGUCAGUGUAAUGAGUAUCCCCAUUCUUGCAGAAGCUCAUGUAAGAGUGUCCAGGGAGGUCGAACAACCACACCACGACGUACUCUUUUCCACUCUCCGAAACCGAGUGUCCAGGGAGGUCGAACAACCACACCACAACGUACUCUUUUCCACUCUCGGAAACCCACAAAAGGCCCCUCACCACAUCAGCACUCAGAUCGCUGAAAAUACUGUCAGAAUCUUGCCUUACAAAUUUUCUAUCUCCCACACUCUUGACAAUACAAUCAGCUGAAUCAAUCGACUCUAGAGACGGAAGACGGAUCUUUUUUCUCGCUAAACGCAUCUACGAUGUACAAACUGGAUCCUGAAUCUAACAACAAGAGCCAGUUGCCCGAGUUUGCCAGGAAUCGACACCCUGAAAAGUCUCCAAGUUUCCUUUGGAACGUGCCUUCUUUCGGGUUGUACAGCACACAACCACCGUCUUUCGGAAAAAGCAUCAGCCCUGGAGAUUCGUUGCGUCGUUUGAGGGAAGAAGUCAUUAUCAGGAGGCAGAUUCUCGCGUUGCAGUUAUUGUGUGUAAUAUAGGGUACCGCUUAGGGUUUGUGGCACACACUGAAAAAGUGAUAGUUUGUUAUUAGUCCCAUUUUUUUUUCUCUUUUCCUAUAUGAACAAAUACAACAUUUUUUUUUUAACAACAUAGCUUUAUUUAAUUAGAUUGUGAAAGGAUAAUACAAAUAUUUAAUCAACCAAACAGGAGGAAUAUGAAAACUAACAGAAGAAAUAACUUGUUGAGUUGCUUUUCUUGCCAAAGCAUCAGCCGCUUGAUUCUUUUCUCGAUUAACAAAUUCCAGUGAACUUUCCGGGAGCAUCAUCAUCCAAUAUCGAAUAUCACAGAUCAAGUUGCCAAUUUCUAUAUGAUCCUUCACUUGAUUUAUAAUAUUGCAUAAUUCCUUAUUAUCACCUUCGAACCAAACUCUUUGCAAUCCCCGAAUCCAAACUUGCUGGAGAGCAUAUAAAAAACUCGAUGCUUCACCCACAAGCGAAGACUGUUGCCUUUCCAAUUGCGCGUAUCCAGAUCCCAGAUGACACCCUUUAUCAUCUCUCAAUAUCCAUCCUAAACCAGCUUUAUCAUUGUUCCCAGAGCUAUAAUCAAAGUUACAUUUAAUCCAGCCACUGGGGGGCGGCUCCCAUUUUGAGGAUUUAACUUCUAUAACUCGGUGUUGUUGUCCAGGUUGAAUAACAUUACGAUGCCAUUCAAUAUUAGCAUCCAUCGCACGGCGGACAUCCUCUAUAGGAUGUACAUUUCUCUUGGAGAAGAUAAACUCAUUUCUUGACUUCCAAAUCAACCACAACAUCCAGAAUACAAGUAACUUGUUUAUUUCAUGAUCGCCCAUUGACUCCAUCACCCCAAAAAGAUUUCUAAUAUUAUCUUCCAGAUUAUUAGAAAAAUUUUGAGUAACAAGCAUACCUGAACAACGCCAGAUUGCAUAUGCGUGAGGGCAUAGGAACAACACAUGAUUAAUGGAUUCAUCAUCAAGGCAACAUCUUUGGCAUGUUGGAUCCAUAUUAAUUCCCCGCGUACAUAAUCUAGUAGCAGUAGGAAGAGCUCCUGAUACCACCCUCCAUAGAAAUUGCUUAACUUUUGGGAGAAUAUUCAAAUCCCAUAUCUUUUUCUUUACUUCCAGUGAUCCAUCGGGUCUCAAUAUUUCCUCCCCCUCAUGAUAAUGGUGAGUAGCAGCCCAGUACCCAGAUUUGACAGUAUAUUCCAUAUCCUUGGUAAAAGGCCAUACGAGCUUAUCUUCUGUAGGGUAUCUAGACAACUUGAUCUUCAAAACCUGAACUAUAUCCUGCGGCUGUAAAAAUUCUUCUAGUUUCUGAAGAUCCCAAGAAAAAGUUUCCUUAUCAAUAAAAUCCUCCACCUUCAUAUUUUGAUUAUAAGAAACUUGUACAACACGUCUUGGAGGAUUUUCCGGUAACCAAUGAUCUAACCAAACAUUAGUGUUCUUUCCAUCUCCAAUCAUUGUUCUCAAACCUUUUUGAAGUAGUUCCUUUCCUACUUGAAUAGACUUCCAGCCAUAAGAGGCUUGCUUUGAAUUCGAUGACUGUAAGAAUGUCAACGAAUGAUGAUACCUUCCUUUGUAAAUCCUACUAAGGAGAGAGUUUGGAUUUUGCCAUAUUCGCCAUGCUUGUUUCGCCAAUAGAGCUUUGUUGAAACUAUAGAGGUCGCGAAAGCCCAUCCCCCCUUCUUUUUUUGGCAAGCACAAUCGUUUCCAAGAUAUCCAAGAAAUCUUCCUUCUCUCAUCUCCUGUUCCCCACCAAAACUCAGAGAGAAUGGAGUUUAUCUCAUCACAUAUUGUCUUUGGGACUAGAAAACAGCUCAUAGGAUAUACCGGUUUUGCUUGAAGAACCGAUUUUAUUAAGACCUCUUUACCUGCCUGCGAUAAAUUCUGAUUAUACCACUGAGAAGUAGCCUUUCUGAUUUGUUCCACAAUUCCUUUGAAAUCUUGAACUUUACUCUGACCAAACUGCUCUGGGAGACCAAGAUAUUUACCUCCACCUCCUGUUCGAUAAAUCUUCAAUAUAUUAUGAAUCCUAUUCUUCACUUGUUGAUCAACCCGCUUUCCAAAGAUGACUGAAGAUUUCUCUAAAUUAACUUUCUGUCCCGAAGUCUUCUCAUACAUAUCUAAUAUGUCUGCCAUACAUAAAGCAUUAUCCUCAUUAGCACGGCAAAAGAAGAGAGAGUCAUCAGCGAAUAAUAAGUGAGAGACCUUUGGGGCAAUGUCUAGAAAGUUUCAUCCCCUGAAAUCGAUUAGUUAUCUGAGCUUGAUCAAUCAUUUGGCUUAAGGCUUCAGCACAAAGGAGGAAAAGAUAUGGUGAUAGAGUAUCUCCUUGUCUUAUCCCCCUUGAAGGUUUUAUCAUUCCAUAUGGGCAACCAUUAAUCAGAACCGAAUAAGACACCGUAGUAAUACAAGACAUAAUCCAAGAUAUGGAGAUAGGAUGAAAUCCAAGCUUGGUCAUGAUGCUUUCUAAAAAACUCCACUCUACCCGAUCGUACGCUUUGCUAAUGUCUGUCUUGAUGGCCAUAUAUUGUUCAGAACAAUCUUUCUUAGACUUCAGAGCGCUUAUCAGUUCAUGUGCCACUAAAAUAUUAUCAGAAAUCUGGCGACCCGGAACAAAAGCAGCUUGUGAUUCAGAAAUUAUCACAUCCAAACACCUCUGAAUUCGAAUACCCAAAACCUUUGAUAUCAAUUUAUACGCCACAGUACAGAGACUUAUCGGACGGUACUCUCCCAUAUCUGCAGCCUCUGGAAACUUUGGAAGUAAUACUAUAUUUGUGUGGUUAAUCCCAUUAUCCAUGAUACCACUCUCAAAGAAUCUUCGAACCAUGUUACAAACAUCUGGACCGAUUGUAUCCCAAAAUUGUUUAUAAAAAGCAGCCGUGAAGCCAUCUGGGCCAGGUGCUCUGUCUGCUCCAAUGAGAUCCAAAGCGUCUUUUAUUUCUCUAUCUGUGACUGGGGCAAUGAGUUGAGCGUUCAUCUCCAUCGUGAUCUUAGGUUGAAUAUUAGGUAAGCAUUCGUCUAAUGGUAUUGUUGGAGUAGAAGAAAACAUGCUUUCAAAAUAAUCUUCAGCAACCUUUGCUAUAGUUUCCUCUUGUAUAUGGAAGACUCCAUUCUUAUCUCUCAUUUUCGAGAUUUUAUUUUUGCUUUUCUUCACUUUAGAAACCCCAUGGUAAAAUGGAGUGUUACGAUCCCCUAAAUUCAGCCACCGGUUCCUGCUUUUCAGCUUCCAAAACUCUUCUUCAUCUCUGUAUGCUUUAUUUAAGUUCACUCGUAGCUCUUGGAUUACUUCAAGUUGAACUGAGCUAUCUCGGAGAGCUUGAUCUAUUUGCCCUCUAAUCACACUUAUACGAACUGCAGAAUUCGUUUGGUGUCUUCUCUUCCAGUUAACAAUCUGAUUCCGACAAUGGCCCAGUUUCUGAUUCCAACCUCUGAUGAAUUCUGUCUGAUCCCAAGCUCCAGAAACUGUCUCCACAAAACUCUGAUCUUCGAAUAGUCUUUUAUCAUAGCAAAAGAGUCCUUUCCUUCGUUGAUAUUUGUAAUCAAUUGACACAAUCAUGGGUCUAUGAUCCGAUUCUGCAAUCUCCAAAUAUUCAGUACUAGAAUUUGGAAAUUUAUUCAUCCAUGAGGGGUUUACCAUCACUCUAUCCAAGCAGCAUUCAAUGAUAUCAUUUCUUCGACGACCAACCCAACUGAACUGAUUACCAGUAUGUUUGAGAUCCUUCAUGUCACAAAUCUGUAGCAUCGUAUUAAAAUUCUGAAAACUCGACAUUGAUCUUGUCCUUCCCCCUAUCUUCUCCUCUGAUUUUGUUAUCUCAUUACAAUCACCACACAACAUCCAAGGCCCCACACGGGUAGUGGCUAUUCUUUGAAGUCUUUCCCACAGAAGAUGUCUAUAUUUCGGUUGAGGGUGCCCAUAUACACAAGACAAAUAAAACUGAAAACAUUGAUAUUCAACAUGAAGGUCUACAAGUCUUUCAUCACUGGAAAUGCAAGAAACAGAAACAUAUGACUUCCAAAAUACAGCUAAACCACCACUAUAACCAAUCGGUGGAACUAAUAUCAUAUGAUCAAAACCAAGAUCCACCCCAAUAUCUCUAACAACAUCGUUAGCUUGCUUGGUUUCAAUCAGGAACAACAAGUCUGGAUGAUACAAACGUUGCAUCUCCUUUAGACGUCGAACUGUCAAGCGUUGUCCCAGCCCUCGACAGUUCCACACCUCGACUCUCAUGGUUCAUCUGGUGGAACCGGGCCCACCGCGCCUCUGUCGAUCUGUGGAUUGUUGUCAUGAGCUUGAUCCUGACCAUAAUCUUCCUGAAGCUUUCGCAGAGCAUUGAACUCAUGAGACAUCUUCAUCCUUCCAACAGGAAACUUAUCAACCAUCUCAGACUCCAUCCUUGGACGUUUACCCAGAGAAGAUAUCUCCUUUGAAACACCCUGAUCAUCCGCAUGCUGCAUCGCGGCAUGGAUAUGAUCCAUCUCAUGAUCGAAGUCCUCCUGAAGGAACGAUCCAUACUGGCUGAAACCAAACUCAGAGGAUCUACGAGCUUCCAUCGCCAGGAUUAUGUGAUCACUCUCCUCAUCUGAUUCAUUCUCUUGUCUCAAACACAUCUCAGUACCACUACCUCUCUGGCGACUAGAGCUUCCUUCUUCUAGCAGAGCAGCCACGAAAUCAUUCCUUCGCUUCAUCCGAACCUCACCAGUGUUUUGCUCAUAUCCUUGGCUAGUUAUAACCAUAGGAGCAGUAGAGCUAAAUUGCUGCAGCAAUGCAACAUGAGAACCAGGACCCGUUUCACCAUCAUUCACCUGAUCCAUGGGAAUGUCGUGAGCAGGACCAUCUGGUGCCACCGCUGCGUCCUCCUCAUUUUCCUCACCUCCGGCCUGGUCAUUUGGAGGAUCUUCUUCCUCAUUGUUAGCAUCCAUCUGAUCCACCACUGCUGCAGGAGGACAUUCACCGGAGUCAUGGGUAAUCAUCCCACACUGAUCACAAAAACCCCUGAGUCGUUCGUAACGGAACUUCAGCAGAGUAUUAACUCCAGGGGAGAAUUGGAAGUUUCUCUGAAACUUGAGAGGGUUGCCUACGUUCCAGUUGAGUCGAAUACGAACAAAUUCCACCGCAGCGUUAACACUUGGGUUGAAAUCCACCGUCAUGACUUCCCCCAUUCUAUCACCAAUGUUGUGGAUCACCUGUUCGGUAAGAUACUCCAAAGGAAUACCCCUAAUUUGCACCCACAGAGGUAUAUAGUUGAGAUCAGCGUCAUCCAUACCCGGAACCCAUCGACUAAUGAUCAGCAUUCUUUCAUUGAACGCCCAUGGACCUCUGUUAAUCACCGACAGAAGCAUUUCUUCGGUUGGAAAGACAAACUGGAACUUCCUCCUAUCAACGAUACGUCCAGAGAUGAGACCAGGAAGACCCCACAUUUUAGGCAGGGAGGUCAGGAGCGCCCUCACGUUUUGCUUCGUUUGCAUAGAUGGUCUCCCAAUCAAAGAAAAUUGAUUCACCCGGCGCGCUUCAUUACAAACCGCCGCAGAGAGAGGCACCGGAUCAUCAUCAAUACCCAAAUUCAGAUCCUGAAUCGCCCUUCGCAAAUUAUCCGCCAUGAUCGCAAGACUACAAUCAAAACGAUAUGUGUACAGGAUUUGUGAAGUGAUUUUCUGAAUCGGGGAGGAAAAAUUGUGAAGAUAUAUAAACCCCCCAUCCAUAACAAUAACUAUCAAAAACUGCUUCAUCGUGGUGAAGUUUGUACUCCACUACGGAGAUGGAAGAAUCAUGGGUGUUAACUUGCGUAAACCAACCCACUAUCAAAUCAAAUUGGGAACCAAAAGAUCUGGAUUCUUCAAAGAAAAACCAGAAGAAUAACCGCUUCACGAUCGCCUUAUCAAUCGCCAAUAACCGCUUCACGAUCGCCAUCGCUUCAAACUGCCCAAGCUUCUUAUUCAUCAAAAAUUCAAAAUUUCGAUUUUCAUUUUCACAGAAAUAAUGUUUAUUUGAUAGAUGAGUGUUCAUGUUAUUGUUUUAUAUAUUUUGAUUGAUUUAUAAAUCCAAGUAAAAUAUACAGAUUUUUUAAAAAUUUCGGAUUAGUAUUUACAAAUUCUGAGGUUUACUCUCGGAUUUGAGUCUUUGUAUCUUUAACAAAAAAAUCCAAACAAAUCUAUUCAAAUCGAUUAUAAAAUCAAAUUUAUUAGUAAAUCCGUACGAUUGAAUAACAGUUGAUUUGAUAUAGAAUUUAUGAAUAAUUAAACUAAAAGAGAAAGACUUGGGUUCACCCCUAUGGUGAACAUUUAGAUUCACCAACCAAUCAAAAAUUAGCAUUCUACAUGUAGUCUUUUUCAUAAAAAGAAACAAAAUAUUUCGAAUUUACAUCUUAAAAUAAAUAGAUAAAAAAUAAAUAAAAAAUAUUAGUAGCUGUAAAAAAAACAAAAUUCUAAAAAUUGUUAACGUCCACACUAAAUCGUAAACCCUAAAUCAUAAACACUAAACCUAAACCCUAAACACUAACCCCUAAAUUCUUAGAUAAACCCUAAACCCUUGUGCAAAUCAUAAAUCCUUAGAUAAACCCUAAAAGCUAAACCCUAAAAUUUAAAGUAAACCCUAAACCCUUGGGUAAAUCUGAAACCCUUGGGUAAAUCUUAAUCUUUGGGCAAAUUUUAAACCAUUGAAUAAAAUCUUUUGGGUUUAGGAUUUUAUCCGAAGGUUUAGGAUUUAUCUAAGAAUUUAGGGUUUAUCCGGUUUCUUGCCAAAACCGUAAAAACGUAUUUUACUGCCAAAACCGCAAAAAUGUGUUCUCCCCCCCCCCCCNNNNNNNNNNNNNNNNNNNNNNNNNNNNNNNNNNNNNNNNNNNNNNNNNNNNNNNNNNNNNNNNNNNNCCCCCCCCCCCCCCCCCAAACCGCAAAACAUGUUUUUCAGCCAAAACCACAAAAAUAUGGUUUCUUGCCAAAACUGUAAAAACGCAUUUUACUGCCAAAACCGCAAAAACGUGUUUUCCCGUCAAAACCACAAAAAUACAUUUCCUGUCAACAUCUCUUUAAAUUUAUAAGGAAAAAACGUAUUGAGACGAAACCUCUUUAAAUUUAUUAUCUUUUAGCAAAUUAUACAAACAACAAAAUCUUACUCAAACUGGAUAAAGUACAAGAGAUCACAUAUGCUCUGAAGCUCUUUCCAAAGCCUAACAACCAUUCAAAAAUCAUAUUUCUUACCCAACCACAUAAAACUCAUGAAAUCGGCUUGCAGAGGAGGAUGGUUUGCAAAACUAAGGCGGACAAGUCCAUGAAAUGAAAGAGAUCCAAAAUCAAAUUGAGAAAAUCAAGCGGAUAAAAGUACAAGAGAUGGCUUUAUUUUUUUUUUUUGCAUGGUUUGCAAACUUUGAGGGGGACAACGUCCAUGAAAGAGAAACUUUGAAAACCAAAAGCGCACUAGUUGUUGUUUCCUCAUUCUCUCUGAAGUUGAUGGAAAUUUAAUUCGCAAAGGUGAGGAUAAAUAAUAAAAUGAGAGAUAUCCACCACUCACAAAGUCUUAAAGUAAACAAAAUGUCAAGCAAGAUAAUAUGUUUCGUUAAGUCAACAUCCUAAACCUUUAUUCAAAAGCAUAAUAAAUAAAAGGAGAAGAGCAAAUUAAUUCCCAGAAGGGAGAAACCAUCGAGCAUCCAUGAGAUCCAUCUUGUUAAGAUUGUGAUAGCGAUGGAGGGUCUUCGUUGCAAGAUUGUACACACAGAUGUCAAGGUCGCGAGGUGAGCAAUGGCAGGGACGAAAGUGACGGGUGAAAUAGAUGGAGUCUGGUUCGAUACCAAGGGCCUUGUUAGCAGGCACAGCAAAACCCAAGUCAAGAAGCAGAGCCUCACCACCAAGAGAAUGUACCUCAGUAACCGUGUGGCAGGCGUGAUCUGGGUCUUCUACAUCAGGAUCCUUCUUGUAGAGGCGGAACCAGGUCCUACUGGAUGGAUCACUCUCAACCAACAAAACCUCUCCUGAUGAUGUUGUAACCGCAAUGCUAGAAUCGUAGGCGUAAUCAUGAUGAGAAAGCAUUGGGAAUGGUAUUUGACCGGUAAUGUCCUUGAAGAAACCUUGCGGUCCAGACAGAUCAAAGACUCGAACAAAACGACGACUUGUUGAGACGUAGAGGCGGGGAACACAUAGCACACUAUCUUGAAGAAACCUUGCGGUCCAGACAGAUCAAAGACUCGAACAAAACGACGACUUGUUGAGACGUAGAGGCGGGUACCACAUAGCACCAUAUCCGACAAGCCAUCAUACUUGUGAAAGGCAUAGUCAUCGAAAACGAGAGGAAUGUCAGUGUAAUGAGUAUCCCCAUUCUUGCAGAAGCUCAUGUAAGAGUGUCCAGGGAGGUCGAACAACCACACCACGACGUACUCUUUUCCACUCUCCGAAACCCACAAAAGUCCCCUCACCACAUCAGCACUCAGAUCCCCGUAAAUAGCGCCAGACUCAUCCCUUAUAAAUUCUCUA